AUUCUCAUCCCUCUUCUCAUCCCCAGAGACUAACCCUAGGUCAGCAGAAGGUCAAGCCCUGCCCGAAGUUAGAGGUCAGGGGUUAAAGGUCAUGUCCUGUUGACCCUGCGUGUGAGAUAAGCAGGCGAAGCUGGGAGCAGUGAGCCCCUGGUGGACGGACCUGGCUGUGGACCACGGUUGUUAUUGGCAGCUUGUCAGGCUGAGCAGAGCUGGACAGCAGGAGAUUUUGGAGGCCAUGGCAAGAUUCACGCAGAGACGGGAAUUCAGAAGAAGAUGUGAUUGGUCGCUUGGUAAGAGCCCUUCUCUCUCUUUCUGAUGAAUAGAUGUUUUAUAUUAUGGCUAUGUGCAGUGUUGUAAUAAUGUGUAAAUAGUAAAUAAAUAAAGAUA
Molecule: long non-coding RNA, 387 nt
Filed under: Oncorhynchus kisutch (coho salmon)
Lineage: Eukaryota; Metazoa; Chordata; Actinopteri; Salmoniformes; Salmonidae
Description: lncRNA (ENSOKIG00005015083.1)
Source: RNAcentral